ACAUAUCUUCUUCUUUUUUGUU
RNAcentral lists this small RNA (22 nucleotides) under Arabidopsis thaliana (thale cress). RNAcentral's name for it is "ATSL185440". Lineage: Eukaryota; Viridiplantae; Streptophyta; Magnoliopsida; Brassicales; Brassicaceae. The record is from RNAcentral.